RNAcentral lists this long non-coding RNA (211 nucleotides) under Elaeis guineensis (African oil palm). RNAcentral's name for it is "long non-coding RNA (EGUI_LNC047160)". The record is from RNAcentral. Lineage: Eukaryota; Viridiplantae; Streptophyta; Magnoliopsida; Arecales; Arecaceae.
CACCUAUUGAAUAAGGUUUCAUCAAAGUCCGUUUCUACCACACCGUAUGAGAUAUGGUUUGAUAAGAGUUGAGUCUAAGUUAUCUUAAGAUUUGAGGAUGUCCGACCUAUAUCAAGAGACAGAUGGCUGAUAAACUAGAGGAUAAAUCUGUAGUAGCUCGUUUCAUAGGGUAUCCAAAAGAAUUCAUAGGAUACAACUUCUACUUUCCACA